AACCCUAUACGCCGAACUCUUUAUCACCUCCAUAAUCGAGAAACAUGUCCUUAUUUACUCCAAGGACAAUUUUGACCGCUGUCCAAUGAUCCAUUCCUGGAUCAUUCUUGUACCCCUUGACUGACUCAUGGCAAGGCACACUUCCGGUGCGGUACACAGCAUAGCAUACUAUAGAGCCUACGUCUGAAGUAUAGGGGACGACCUUCGUCCUUUCUCUCUAUUCUGCCGUGGUCGAGCUUUUAAGUCUUAACUUCAUACCUUACAUCUCAGGCAAGAACUCCUUCUUUGACUGAUCCAUCUUGAACACCUUCAAGAUCAUGUCAAGGUACGUGCUCAUUUGAAAGUACUAUUAAGCAUUUUGAUCUAUCUUAUAGACCUUGAUGCUUAUUGUUCAAGUAGCCUAAUCCAGGUUUUCCAUUGAAAAACACUUUUCAAAUAACCCUAUAUGCUUUCCAGAAAUUCUACAUCAUUUCUGAUCAACAAUAUGUCAAUAACAUAUACUCAUCAGAAAUUCUAUAGUGCUCCCACUCACUUCUUUGGAAAUACAAGUUUCUCAUAAACUUUUGUAUAAACCCAAAAUCUUUGAUCAUCUCAUCAAAACGUACAUUCCAACUCCGAGAUGCUUACUCCAGUCCUUAGAAGGAUCGCUGGAGACAUCAUACCUUUUAGCAUCCUUAGGAUCGACAAAAACUUUCGGAUUGUAUCACAUACAACCUUUCCUUACGAAGACUGGUAAGAAAACUCGUUUUGACAUCCAUCUGCCAGAUUUCAUAAUGCAGCUAAUGCUAACAUGAUUCCAACGGACUUAAGCAUCGCCUACGGAUGAGAAAAUCUCAUCGUAGUCAACUCCCUGAACUUGUGAAAAAACUCUUCGCCACAAGUCGAGCUUCAUAGACGGUGACAUCACCGUCCACGUCCGUCUUCUUCUUAAAGAUCCAUUUAUCUCAAUGGCUUUCCGAUCAUCGGGCAAGUCCACCAAAGUCCAUGCUUUGUUCUGAUACAUGGAUCCUAUCUCGGAUUUCAUGGCUUCUAGCCAUUUGUCGGAAUUUGUGCCCACCAUUGCUUCUCCAUAGCUCGUAGGUUCAUUGUUGUCUAGCAACAUGACCUUCAAGACAAGAUUACUAUACCACUCUGAAGCAGUACGCAUCCUUGUCACCCUAUGAGGUACGGUAGUGACUUGAUCCGAAGUUUCAUGAUCACUAUCAUAAGCUUCUACUUCAAUUGGUGUAGGUGCCACAGGAACAACUUCCUGUGCCCUGCUACACACUAGUUGUAGUGACGGUUCAAUAACCAUAUCAAGUCUCCACCAUCCUCCCACUCAACUUUUCGAGACAAACUUUUCCUCGAGAAAGGACCCGAUUCAAGAAACAAUCCCUAUUGCUUUCGGAUCUGAAUUAGGAGGUAUACCCAACUGUUUUGGGUGUCCUAUGAAGAUGCAUUUUAUCCGCUUUGGGUUCGAGCUUAUCAACCUGAAACUUUUUCACAUAAGCGUCGCAGCCCCAAACCUUUAAGAAAUGACAGCUUAGGUUUCUCUAAACCAUAGUUCAUACGGUGUCAUCUCGACGGAAUUACGUGGUUCCCUAUUUAAAGUGAAUGUGAUUGUCUCUAAUGCCUAACCCAUAAACGAUAGUGGUAAUUCGAUAAGAGACAUCAUGGUACGCACCAUAUCCAAUAGGGUGCAACUAUGAUGUUCGGACACACCAUCAAACUAUGGUGUUCCAGGCGGUAUUAAUUGUGAAACAAUUUCCACAAUGUCUUAAUUGCGUGCCAAAGCUCGUAACUCAGAUACUCAUCUCUAUGAUCAUAUCAUAGACAUUUUAUCCUCUUGUCACGACGAUCUUCAACUUCACUCUGAAAUUACUUGAACCAUUCAAUAAUUCAGACUUCUGUUUCAUCAAGUAAAUAUACUCAACAUCUACUCGAAUCAUCUGUGAAGUAAGAACAUAACGAUAUUCACUGCAUGCCUCAGCACUCAUUGGACUGCACACAUCAAAAAUGUGUUACUUCCAACAAGUUGCUAUCUCGUUCCAUCUUACUGAAAACGAGGCUUUUCAGUCAUCUUGCCCAUGUGGUAUGAUUUGCAUAUCUCAAGUGAUUCAAAAUCAAGUGAGUCCAAAUGAUCCAUCUGCAUGGAGUUUCUUCAUGCGUAUACACCAAUAGACAUGGUUCGCAUGUCUCAAACUUUUCAAAAACGAGUGAGUCCAAAAAUCCAUCAACAUGGAGCUUCUUCAUGCGUUUUAUACCAAUAUGACUUACAUCGCAAUGCCACAAGUAAGUGGUACUAUCAUUAUUAUCUUAUAUCUUUUGGCAUGAAAAUGUGUAUCACUACGAUCGAGAUUCAAUAAACCAUUCGUUUCAGGUGCAAGACCAUUGAAGGUAUUAUUCAAAUAAACAGAGUAACCAUUAUUCUCCUUAAAUGAAUAACCGUAUUGCGAUAGACAUAAUCCAAUCAUAUCUAUGCUCAACGCAAACACCAAAUGACAACCAUUCAGGUUUAAUACUAAUCUUGAUGGUAGAGGGAGCGUGCGAUGUUUGAUCACAUCAAACUUGGAAAUACUUCCAACACAUAUCGUCAGCUCACCUUUAGCUAGUCUCCGUUUAUUCCGUAGCUCUUUUAUUUCGAGUUACUAACACUUAGCAACCGAACCAGUAUCUCAUACCCUGGUGCUACUAGGAGUACUAGUAAAGUACACAUUAACAUAAUGUAUAUCCAAUAUACUUCUAUCGACCUUGCCAGCCUUCUCAUCUACCAAGUAUAUAGGGUGGUUCCGCUUCAGUGCCCGUUCCUCUUAUUACAGAAGCACUUAGUCUCGGGUUUGGGUUCAACCUUGGGUUUCUUCACUAGAGCAGCAUCUGAUUUGCCAUUUCAUGAAGUAUCCCUUCUUGCCCUUGCCCUUCUUGAAACUAGUGGUUUCACCAACCAUCAACAAUUGAUGCUCCUUCUUGAUUUCUACUUUCGUGGUGUCAAACAUCGCGAAUACCUCAAGGAUCAUCAUAUCUAUCCCUGACAUAUUAUAGCUCAUCACGAAGUUCUAGCAGCUUGGUGGCAAUGACUUUGGAGAAACAUCACUAUCUCAUCUGGAAGAUCAACUCCCACUCUAUUCAAGUGAUUGUUGCAGUCAGACAAUCUGAGCACAAGCUCAACGAUUGAUCUUUUCUCCCUUAGUUUGCAGGCUAAGAAAAUCGUCGGAGGUCUCAUACCUCUUGACGUGGGCAUGAGCCUGAAAUCUCAAUUUCAGCCCUCGAAACAUCUCAUAUGUUCCGCGACGUUUCGAAAACAUCUUUGGUGCCUCAAUUCUAAACCGUUUAUCUGAACUAUCACGUAGUUAUCAAAACGUGUAUGUCCGAUGUUCGCAACAUCCACAAACGACGUUUGGGGUUCAGCACACUGAGCGGUGCAUUAAGGACAUAAGCUUUCUACUGUCCGCAUAAUCGCUACUGUCAACUUUCAACUAUAUUUUCUCUAGGAACAUAUCUAAACAGUGGAACUAAAGUGUGAGCUUACAACAUAAUUUGCAAAGAUCUUUUGACUAUGUUCAGGAUAAUUAAGUUCAUCUUAUGAACUCCCACUCAGAUAGACAUCCCUCUAGUCAUCUAAGUGAUUACAUGAUCCGAGUCAACUAGGCCGUGUCCGAUCAUCACGUGAGACGGACUAGUCAUCGUCGGUGAACAUCUUCAUGUUGAUCGUAUCUACUAUACGACUCAUGCUCGACCUUUCGGUCUCUGUGUUCCGAGGCCAUGUCUGUACAUGCUAGGCUCGUCAAGUUAACCCUAAGUGUUUCGCGUGUGUAAAUCUGUCUUACACCCGUUGUAUGUGAACGUAAGAAUCCAUCACACCCGAUCAUCACGUGGUGCUUAGAAGCGACGAACUUUAGCAACGGUGCACAGUUAGGGGAGAACACUUCUUGAAUUUUUUGUAAGGGAUCAUCUUAUUUACUACUGUCGUUCUAAGUAAACAAGAUGCAUAAACAUGAUAAACAUCACAUGCAAUCAAAUAGUGACAUGAUAUGGCCAAUAUCAUUUUGCUCCUUUUGAUCUCCAUCUUCGGGGCUCCAUGAUCAUCAUCGUCACCGGCAUGACACCAUGAUCUUCAUCAUCAUGAUCUCCAUCAUCGUGUCUUCAUGAAGUUGUCUCGCCAACUAUUACUUCUACUACUAUGGCUAUCGGUUAGCAAUAAAGUAAAGUAAUUACAUGGCGUUGUUCAAUGACACGCAGGUCAUACAAUAAAUUGAGACAACUCCUAUGGCUCCUGCCGGUUGUCAUACUCAUCGACAUGCAAGUCGUGAUGCCUAUUACAAGAACAUGAUCAAUCUCAUACAUCACAUAUCAUUCAUCACAUUCUUCUUGGCCAUAUCACAUCACAUAUCAUACCCUGCAAAAACAAGUUAGACGUCCUCUAAUUGUUGUUUGCAUGUUUUACGUGGCUGCUAUGGGUUUCUAGCAAGAACGUUUCUUACCUACGCAAAACCACAACGUGAUAUGUCAAUUGCUAUUUACCCUUCAUAAGGACCCUUUUCAUCGAAUCCGUUCCGACUAAAGUGGGAGAGACUGGCACCCGCUAGCCACCUUAUGCACCAAGUGCAUGUCAAUCGGUGGAACCUGUCUCACGUAAGUGUACGUGUAAGGUCGGUCCGGGCCGCUUCAUCCCACAAUACCGUCGAAACAAGAUUUGACUAGUAACGGUAAGCAUAUUGAACAUAAUCAACGCCCACAACUACUUUGUGUUCUACUCGUGCAAAGAAUCUACGCAAUAGACCUAGCUCAUGAUGCCACUGUUGGGGAACGUAGCAGAAAUUCAAAAUUUUCCUACGUGUCACCAAGAUCUAUCUAUGGAGAAACCAACAACGAGGGGAAGGAGAGUGCAUCUACAUACCCUUGUAGAUCGCUAAGCGAAAGCGUUCAAGAGAACGGGGUUGAAGCAGUCGUACUCGUCGUGAUCCAAAUCACCGGAGAUCCUAGUGCCGAACGGACGGCACCUCCGCGUUCAACACACGUACAGCCCGGUGACGUCUCCCAUGCCUUGAUCCAGCAAGGAGAGAGGGAGAGGUUGAGGAAGACUCCAUCCAGCAGCAGCACAACGGCGUUGUGGUGAUGGAGGAGCGUGGUAGUCUAGCAGGGCUUCGCCAAGCACCGCGAGAUAUGAGGAGAAGGGAGAAGGGAAGGGCUGCGCCAAGAGGAGAAGUUCUCAUCUGUUGGACAACCCCCAGACCUCUAGUAUUUAUAGGGGGAGGGGAGGGGGCUGCACCCCCUCUAGGGUUCCCUCCCCAGGGGUGGCGGCAGCCCCCAGAUCCCAUCUGGGUGGCGGCCAGAAGGGGAGAGGGGGGAGGCGCACCCAGGGUGGGCCUUAGGGCCCAUCUGCCCUAGGGUUUGCCCCCUUUCCCCACUUCCUGCGCCUUGGGCCCUGUGGGGGGGUGCACCAGCCCACCUGGGGCUGGUCCCCUCCCACACUUGUCCCAUGCAGCCCUCCAGGGUUGGUGGUCCCACUUGGUGGACCCCCGGGACCCUCCCGGUGGUCCCGGUACGUUACCGGAAAAACCCGAAACUUUUCCGGUGACCAAAACAGGACUUCCAAUAUAUAAAUCUUUACCUCCGGACCAUUCCGGAACUCCUCGUGACGUCCGAGAUCUCAUCCGGGACUCCGAACAACAUUCGGUAACCAUAUACAAACUUCCUUUAUAACCCUAGCGUCAUCGAACCUUAAGUGUGUAGACCCUACGGGUUCGGGAGACAUGUAGACAUGACCGAGACGUUCUCCGGUCAAUAACCAACAGCGGGAUCUGGAUACCCAUGUUGGCUCCCACAUGUUCCACGAUGAUCUCAUCGGAUGAACCACGAUGUCAAGGACUCAGUCGAUCCCGUAUACAAUUCCCUUUGUCUAACGGUAUUGUACUUGCCCGAGAUUCGAUCGUCGGUAUACCGAUACCUUGUUCAAUCUCGUUACCGGCAAGUCUCUUUACUCGUUCCGUAACACAUCAUCCUGUGAUCAACCCCUUAGUCACAUUGUGCACAUUAUGAUGAUGUCCUACCGAGUGGGCCCAGAGAUACCUCUCCGUUUACACGGAGUGAUAAAUCCUAGUCUCGAUCCGUGUCAACCCAACAGACACUUUCGGAGAUACCUGUAGUGCACCUUUAUAGUCACCCAGUUACGUUGUGAUGUUUGAUACACCCAAAGCACUCUUACGGUAUCCGGGAGUUACACAAUCUCAUGGUCCAAGGAAGAGAUACUUGACAUUGGAAAAGCUCUAGCAAACGAACUACACGAUCUUUGUGCUAUGCUUAGGAUUGGGUCUUGUCCAUCACAUCAUUCUCCUAAUGAUGUGAUCCUGUUAUCAACGACAUCCAAUGUCCAUAGCCAGGAAACCAUGACUAUCUGUUGAUCACAACGAGCUAGUCAACUAGAGGCUCACUAGGGACAUAUUGUGGUCUAUGUAUUCACACGUGUAUUACGAUUUUCGGAUAAUACAGUUAUAGCAUGAAUAAAAGACAAUUAUCAUGAACAAGGAAAUAUAAUAAUACUUUUAUUAUUGACUCUAGGGCAUAUUUCCAACAGUCUCCCACUUGCACUAGAGUCAAUAAUCUAGUUCACAUCGCCAUGUGAUUAACACUCACAGGUCACAUCACCAUGUGACCAACAUCCAAAGAGUUUACUAGUGUCAUUAAACUAGUUCACAUCAUCAUGUGAUUAAGACUCAAUGAGUUCUGGGGUUUGAUCAUGUUUUGCUUGUGAGAGAGGUUUUAGUCAACGGGUCUGCAACAUUCAGAUCCGUAUGUACUUCGCAAAUCUCUAGGUCAUAUUGUAAACGCUGCUGCCACGCUCCACUUGGAGCUAUUCCAAAUGGUUGCUCCACUAUACGUAUCCGGUUUGCUACUCAGAGUCAUUUGGAUAGGUGUUAAAGCUUGCAUCGACGUAACCCUAUACGCCGAACUCUUUAUCACCUCCAUAAUCGAGAAACAUGUCCUUAUUUACUUCAAGGACAAUUUUGACCGCUGUCCAAUGAUCCAUUUCUGGAUCAUUCUUGUACCCCUUGACUGACUCAUGGCAAGGCACACUUUCGGUGCGGUACACAGCAUAGCAUACUAUAGAGCCUACAUCUGAAGUAUAGGGGACGACCUUCGUCCUUUCUCUCUAUUCUGCCGUGGUCGAGCUUUUAAGUCUUAACUUCAUACCUUACAUCUCAG
This 7179-nucleotide long non-coding RNA is filed under the name Triticum aestivum (bread wheat). RNAcentral describes it as "long non-coding RNA (TAES_LNC023080)". Lineage: Eukaryota; Viridiplantae; Streptophyta; Magnoliopsida; Poales; Poaceae. The record is from RNAcentral.